GGUACGUAGUACUACUACAACCAGUACCGUAGUACAUUUCAUCCAGUUAUGAGUUAUCUUCUUCAUUCUUCAUCCUUCUACCAAAAUUCCAGUCAGCAGUACACACAAGGGAAAGAGAAGAAGCUAGUACUUGGUAGUACACAUGGAGAAGAGGCAGUACAAUGUAUUUCUUGGUCCAGGAAUUGAAUUUGGAUAUAGUACAUGUUUGUACUUUGUUACUACACUUGGCUAAUCUGGUAUAUAUACAAAGAUGAGCAAGGAACAGAUGAUACCCACAAUUAAGUUAGAUCAAUCAGGCUUGACAUAAGCAAAGCAGAUCGGCAAUUAGCUAGCAGCGGAUCGGUGAGUACCAUUUUUGGAGCAGCUGAUUCCGAUGAGAUGAGACUAACAGCACAUGGAUCUGGAAAAGUAUCAUUGAUUCAUUGGACGAUGAAGAAGGGUCAAAUUUCCAACCUCAAUCGUCUGUGUUAAAAGGGAUCUUUGGGAAUUGGUCAAGAUUUAUCAGGAUUUCAUGGCCUGGCUUACAUGUAGCAAACAGUCGAAGAUGCUUAAGAUUCAAGGGUAGGCACUGUAAAAUAUACCUUUCUGUCAACUCAGUAGUUUCUUCUAUGUGCUUGUGAACUCCACACCUAUCAGGCUAUGUUCUUUUGUAAUAUAUACUUUGAUAUUUAAAUGCAUUCGGAGAACAGUAUUAUUCAGAAAGCGAUAUGUGUGCUGACCAAAACCAAAUGUAAUAUUCGACAUUGAGCUCUGUUCUCAGGCAUCUUAUUUUUUCGAAAUCUCA
Molecule: long non-coding RNA, 784 nt
Organism: Rosa rugosa (rugosa rose)
Lineage: Eukaryota; Viridiplantae; Streptophyta; Magnoliopsida; Rosales; Rosaceae
Exons: 2
Source: RefSeq, a predicted model, not a curated record